This 253-nucleotide ribosomal RNA is filed under the name uncultured bacterium. RNAcentral's name for it is "partial 16S ribosomal RNA". It matches the Rfam family "Bacterial small subunit ribosomal RNA", at positions 524 to 776 of the family's 1533-position model. The record is from RNAcentral.
UACGUAGGGUGCGAGCGUUGUCCGGAAUUACUGGGCGUAAAGAGUUCGUAGGCGGUUUGUCGCGUCGUUCGUGAAAACUUGGGGCUUAACUCCAAGCGUGCGGGCGAUACGGGCAGACUUGAGUACUACAGGGGAGACUGGAAUUCCUGGUGUAGCGGUGAAAUGCGCAGAUAUCAGGAGGAACACCGGUGGCGAAGGCGGUUCUCUGGGCCUUACCUGACACUGAGGAGCGAAAGCGUGGGGAGCGAACAGG